CUCUCCUGGAGAGGCCAGGGGACAAAAGGCCCAACUCUUGCCAGAACAGCCAGCUCCUUCCUUAGAGAGCAGCCUUGCUUCCAUCCCAAGCUCUUCCUAACACCUGAACAUCUCUGGGAACAGACUGUUCCUUUCAAGGCCAGCAAGAGCCCAGGAUGACCACACCACACACUUCUAGGUAUUAAAACUCAAGAGCGUUACUGCUUGUCCCUGCAGGGGUCAUCAAAGCAGCGUGGAAAUCCAGGUCUUUGGUGGCCUGGCUCCUUCACCAUCACCAUCUUCACCCCAAGAAGGAAGGAAUUUGAAAUCAAAUCCUGAAGGAAGGACAGGAAGUCCUUCAGGUCUGAGUUGUGCUGGCCCUACCAGCUUUGUGGUCUGGUCCCUGGAGCUCCCACAGAUCUUUGGAAAAUAUACACGAGGCAAGGCUGAGCGUUAUCAGGCUCCAGCCGCUCUCCUUGCAAGAGUGUCUUCAGCAGGAAUUCACCACCUUCCUUUCCAAAAUCCUUUCAGGAACAUCACAGCUCCUGGUGUUGCACAGAGUUGCUGGUAAUCCUGUUAACCUUUGGGUUAAUUAAGCAAGCAGAGACCCUUCAUUAGGAGGAAUGGCACUAAUUGCAUGUCUGAGAGGGUGAGUUUUGCACGGACUGCUGGCUGGGGGAGCAGAAGCCACUGCUGACUUCAGCAAGGGGGCUGGGAGUUAAUGGGGGCCUGCUUGGGAAAGGAGGUCAGGAAAACCUGUUUCCUCAGCACUGCUGGCCCAGCUGGUGUUUGCUGGAGCGGGGGAUGUGCACGGGAGGACGUGGGACAGUGGCACCAUCCUGCAGACUCCCAUGCAAGGCACAGAGGGUCGAGCUGCUGGCACCUGGCUGUCGAGCUGCCAUUAGUUUCCAAUCUAAAAAUGCAAAUCUGUAUUGGUAUGACCUGGUAAGCAGCUCUGCACAAGAGGCCUCAGUCUGCGGCUGAGCUUAGCACUCCAAGCCGGGAAGAGCAGCUUAAAAUCGACAGAGAGCUCUUUGUUUGCCCUGUGCAGUUUAGAAAUUAGGCAAUACUUAGAAGCAAUACUUAGAAGCAAAUAUUGGUUCAAACAACACCAGCUCCAACUCUCCAGUGGGCAGUUUGGCUCAUCCCAGGCAGAAAACAACAUUUUGCAACACAGUCAAAACCUGACACCGAAUAUUUCUCUUAACCAGCAGGGAAACAGGUUUGUGGCAUUUCCUGAAAAAUAAACUAAGCACAGUGACUCUGCAGUCGGAGCGUGGCCCCAAAAUUGACACAUGGGUCCAAACAUGGCCAGCAAGCCCGUUUCUGGAAAGCCAGCCACAGCUCUCCAGGUAUUGGUCAGGCCUUGGGAGCCAUGGGGAAUGCCAAGCUGGUCCCAGUCCAUCAUCAGCCAAGGCCAUGCUCUCAGAGCUGGCACUCCCACAGUGGCUUACAGCUGCUGCAAGCCCCAUGCUGACCUGGGCCCCAGGGCAGGAGGGACUUCCUCUUCCAGGAGAGGCUUGGCAUCAGGCAAGAGGCUGGGAUUUCCCCCAGGUUCUUACACAGGUGAGGUAAACCAGUUCUGCAGAAGCCCCCUGACUUCUCCCUGCCCCUCCUGGGUACCUGAACGCUGAAUCCCAGAAUGGUUUGGGUUUGAAAUGACUGUUAAAGACCAUCCUGCCAUGGGCAGGGACACCUUUCACUACACCAGUUUGCUCCAAGCCCUGUCCAGCUUGGUCUUGAAGACUUUGGGGAUGGAGCAGCCACAGCUUCUCUGAGCAACCUGUGCUAGUGCCUCACCUCCCUCACAGGGAAGGAUUCCUUCCCAAUAUCCCAUCUAACCCUGUCCUUUGGCAGUGGGAAGACAUUCCUGCUUGCCUUGUCACUUCAUGCCCUUAUCCAGAGUCCCUCUUCAGUUUUUUUGGAGUCCCUUAAGGCACUGGAAGGGGCUUUAAGGUCUCUCCAGAGCCCUCUCUAGUCCUGCUGCUCACACUGCUUUGGAUGUGGCCCUGCAGACACUUGGCUGCCAUUGCACAGUGCCACCUCAUGUCCCGUUCAUCACCCAUCAGCUCCCCAAAUCCUCCUCCACAGGGAUGCUCCUCAUCCAUUCACAACCCAGGGUCACCAUCUCCCAUCUCUUGAGACAGGCACCUUUGCCAUUUGAGUGCCAGGCUCAGCUUUUGUCCCACCGUGGCUGUUGACAGAAGAUGAUUUGGGAAAACGUGCUCCUACAUCAGUUCCUGCCUUCACCUGCCUCCCCAUGCAGGCCCAGGGCAGGACAAGAACUUGAGCCCAGCUUUUGUGGUUGACUGUGCUGGCAUCCUUGUCAUGGGGCACUCCAGCCUUCUCCAAGCCACAACCUGGAAAUUCCUAUUUCCUGAGGGAAACGAGUUAACUCUGGAGAAGCCGUGACUCCUGGUAAUUUUCUCCUUAGUCACUGAAGAUGAGCUGGGUUUUCAUCACAACUGCCAGCCUGGUGACCCCUGGGAACACCAACCUUAGCUCCAAAGGCUUCCACAGCUGCCUGGGAGCACCUCUAUGGAAAUACGAGUUGGGUGAGAUACCUGUGAUGGUGUGGUGCAGCUUUCCCUGUUUCCCUCUUUGUUUUGGUGUGUUUUCCACAGGCCCACACACAACCAGAGCUCAGCUACAGCCCCGUUCAGCUGUGGGAUGAGCUGUGCCAUGGGCAGCAGCCAGCUCUGUGGCAAAGCCAAGCCUUCUCCCACACAGCCAUGCCAGCUCUAACUUUAUCCCAAAGUCCUUUGGAUAAAGGACAAACAUCCUUUCCUUAGGACACAACCAAAACUCCAGAGCAGCCUCAUCUCAACCACAAACCACAGGGCACACACAUGACCUUGCAGUAAUGAGGGAGAUGUGAAAAUAAACAAUAUUACUUUACCUUCUCUUUCACUUGGCAUUGUUCUUUCCCCAGGGUUCAGCUGUGUUUAUACAUCACCAGUGAUCCGUGGUUGGGCAGAGGGUGUGUUCAUUUGUAUUUCUUCAUCAUUCAUGUAAUUUUUAGCAGCAGCAUCCUCUUUUGGAAAACACAACGGCCGGGAUGUGCGGUGUUGCAAUGCAACGAACUUGGGAUGUGUGACAAUAAUUCAGGUCAUUCCAUGAAGAUGGGCACUACAGAAGGGUGGCUGUUUCUGGGUGACUGGGACAAAGCCUGAGGGGCUCUGACUUAGCUCUGUCCUUUCUGGUAAAGCUGCUCCUGCUCACAUGAGCCAGAGCAUGGAGUUCUUGCCUUGAAGGGCAACAAGAGUUUCCAGUGUUACUAAAAAUUGGCCUUUGCUGUUCAGUCUCAGCUGAGUCAGCCAGACAUGGGCAUUGGGAAUGGGACCAACCAGGCACCCAGGCAGCCAGGAGUGAGUCAGACAGAACUGUAGAGGGAGGUGAGUGUACUUAGCGAGAGACAGGAUUCACCAUGUGACUAAAUGUGCAUUUUCUAACACAAAAUUUGGCAAAGCAGGUGUCUGAUGGAUGUUCAGGGGAAAGAAUUGAUUUUAUCAUGCAGUUCAUCCCUCCUGGACUCCAAAACUAAUGACAUUUUGCAGCUGAAGGCCACUCAGGACACUUUCCUUUUCCUUCCAAGGCUUCCCAUGGUGGGCUGUACUCCUCAGAAAGAAUGACCUCGUUGGGUCCUUUGGAGAGCAAGGCCUGAGCCCUCAGGCCAGGUGGCCUAGAGGACACAGCCCUGGCUGCUGUGCUUCUGCCCUGGGGUGCCUCCAAGGAAAGCUGUGUGUUGGAAGAGUUUCCUCUCCACAGGCUUGGCCACAGGAGUCAAAGCUGUCAAAGGAGCGUCCACAGGAAGGAUGCACACCAGGAGGAGAGUGGAAUCAUCAUGGAGAAAGGUAGGGUUUGCUAGCACCAAAAGGAAAAGCACCUCUGCAUGUGGCUGGUGAUGUUCCAGAUGCCUUGUGGCUGGAGAUCUGGAAAUGCAGGUGGUUGCUGCAGUACAAGAGGUAUUGCAAUCCAAGCCUCUUCCCUCACCUUUGGAUUUGCCCUGAUGCCAUCUGGGAGAGCAAGGGAAAGAGAUGUGAAGUGAACACCCACCCAUCCCAUCAGCACAUCACAGCCAUCCCCUUGGCAGGUAGAGAAAGCAUUGAGAUGCAAGCAUAAUGUGAGAAGGGAGAGAGGAGCAGUGAGUUGUCCAUAGAAAAAGAUCUGGGAACCAUAUGCAGAAGGCAAAGAUAGUUUGGGCUCUUCCAGCAACUGCUCUUCUGUUAUUUGAGUGGAUCCUUUAUGUUUUCCAAGCUCUCUUCCGCAUCUUUCCCCUUCAUCUGUCCCGUGGUAAAAGAGUCUUUAUCUGGGCAGUGCUGUAACUACUUGUGGAGUCAAUAUGCCCAAGUGUUUCCCCCAAUAUUUAGGUGCUCAGGUGUCUUUGUUGUUUCAGCUGCAACUACAGUUUCUCAAUUUGUCUGUUAGAAGAGGCAUUUUGGAACAAAUCAGUAAAAGGCUCUGGGAGAACCAUGUGGGACAGUCUCCUGCAAGCCCUUGUGCUUCUUCUUCCCAUGGAUGGGGAUGCUGCUAAGGCUGCAUGAGUGAGGCAGGGAUCAGUGAGACCUGCAGGAAGCUGGGGAUGGAUUUCAAAGACAUUUACCUGUCUUGGUGGAAAAAAGACCUUGUAAGGUUACAGCUUGCUGGAGUAAAUAUGGAUGAGAGAUCUUUUAAAAGGAGAGGCUUGAGGUGGGCUUCCUACAGCUGCAGUGUGUUUGGAGACACUCUGGAGACAAGAAAUUCUGCUCUUCUGGGAAAGCAGGGCAUGAGAAACAGGAACCAGCCACGCUGAAGGAAGUGCUGCAAAUGAUGCUGAAAUACCCAGUGUGGCCAGGAGUGCCUCUCACUCAGCCACAGUGGAGGUGGUCAUUGCCUGAGGACCUCCACCCUCCCUGGGUCACUGUGUAGAGCCAAAUCCUUUGCCUGGCACUGGGCUCCCCCCUGUACUGAAGCCACCACCACCUGCAGGUCACUUUGCCCUGAGCCUGCUGGGAGAAGGGACAAGAGCCAACCCAGGUGCUUCCAGUCAACCUCCAGCUGUGUAGAGAGUGAAGGCUG
Molecule: long non-coding RNA, 5037 nt
Organism: Passer domesticus (house sparrow)
Lineage: Eukaryota; Metazoa; Chordata; Aves; Passeriformes; Passeridae
Exons: 4
Source: RefSeq, a predicted model, not a curated record